This 72-nucleotide transfer RNA is filed under the name Cavia porcellus (domestic guinea pig). It matches the Rfam family "tRNA". Rfam says of the family: Transfer RNA (tRNA) molecules are approximately 80 nucleotides in length. Their secondary structure includes four short double-helical elements and three loops (D, anti-codon, and T loops). Lineage: Eukaryota; Metazoa; Chordata; Mammalia; Rodentia; Caviidae. The record is from Rfam by way of RNAcentral.
AUAGAUACAGCUCACUAGCACAGUACCUGUCUGGUAAGCAGGAGGUCCUGAGUUCAAUUCCCAGUACCAAAA